RNAcentral lists this ribosomal RNA (484 nucleotides) under uncultured bacterium. Its description in RNAcentral is "partial 16S ribosomal RNA". It matches the Rfam family "Bacterial small subunit ribosomal RNA", at positions 30 to 507 of the family's 1533-position model. The record is from RNAcentral.
AUUGAACGCUGGCGGCAGGCCUAACACAUGCAAGUCGAGCGGCUGCACGGUGCUUGCUUCUGCUUUCAGCGGCCGACGGGCGAGUGAUGCCUAGGAACCUGCCUGUCUGUGGGGGAUAACGUGCGGACACGGGCGCUAAUACCGUAUUCGUCCUGAGGGCGAACGUGGGGGAUCAUCGGACCUUCCGCCCUCAGAUGAGCCUAGGUCGGAUUAGCUAGUUGGCGGGGUAAAGGCCUACCAAGGCGACGAUCCGUAGCUGGUCUGAGAGGAUGAUCAGCCACACUGGAACUGAGACACGGUCCAGACUCCUACGGGAGGCAGCAGUGGGGAAUAUUGGACAAUGGGCGAAAGCCUGAUCCAGCCAUGCCGCGUGUGUGAAGAAGGUCUUCGGAUUGUAAAGCACUUUAGGUGGGAAAGAAGAGCAGUAAGUUAAUACCUUGCUGUUUUGACGGUACCAAAAGAAUAAGCACCGGCUAACUUCGUG